This 1042-nucleotide unclassified non-coding RNA is filed under the name uncultured fungus. RNAcentral's name for it is "sequence contains 18S rRNA gene, ITS1, 5.8S rRNA gene, ITS2, 28S rRNA gene". The record is from RNAcentral. Lineage: Eukaryota; Fungi.
ACAAGUCGCAGAACACGACGACGAUCUCUCGCCGGUGACUGUCCAGGAACGACUCGUCGCCGGAGUUGACGACCAGGUCGGCGAGUUGCGGGGAGAGGAACCGGCGCAACCUGCCGACGCGCUCCAACUGGUCCACUUGGGACUGCACUCGCUGUUCGAGCUCGCGGUUCCACCCCGCGAGCUCAGCGGCCUGACGCUCGAUCGUGUCGUGGUACCGCUUGAUCCGCACGAGCGACCGGGCACGGGCGAGCAGCUCGGCCCGGUCGAAUGGCUUGGCGACGAAAUCGUCCGCCCCCGCCUCGAUCGCGUGCAGCUUCUCCUGGUCUCCACUUGCCGUGAUCAUCACGACCGGGAGGAACGCAGUGGUCGGCUCCUUCCGGAUUCGUCGGCAUACCUCGUAUCCGUCGAGACCGGGCAUGACGAUGUCGAGCAGGACGAGAUCGGUCUGGUGUUCCUUGAGGAGGUCCAGGGCCUCCUGCCCGGAUCCCGCGGUCAGCACCCGAAAUCCGCUAGGGCUCAGGACCGCGUCGAGAAGUCUCACGUUCUGCGGCAGGUCGUCCACGACGAGGACAGUCGGUUCCUCGCUCAUCGACGUGGCUCCUUCCCGGACAAGAAAUGGCGGACCUGUUCGGGCAGGUCCCGCACGCUGAUCGGCUUCUCCAGAUAGCCGUCGAAGCCGGCACGCAAGGCCUGCUCGCGGUCUUCCCUCAUGGCGAAAGCAGUUAGUGCGACGAUGGGGACCGUACGGGUCUCCGGGCUGUCCCGGAGUCGACGAAGCGCCUCCGCUCCAUCCAUGUGAGGUAGCUGAAUGUCCAUGAGCACGAGGUCGGGGAAGCAUUUCUUUGCCAACGCGACGCCCUGCUCGCCGGAUCGCGCUUCGACGACGUCGUAUCCGGCGAACUGGAGCACGUCGCGCACCAGCUUGAGAUUCCGCUCGUUGUCCUCGACGACGAGGAUCCGGUAGUCGGUCAUCACCCCUCCCGUGCGGAGGCUGCGGGUGCCUCGGUCGUUCGGUGCACGAGGUCGACGAGAAGCGCCGGAU